Molecule: ribosomal RNA, 102 nt
Filed under: Octodon degus (degu)
Lineage: Eukaryota; Metazoa; Chordata; Mammalia; Rodentia; Octodontidae
Source: RNAcentral
GUCUACAGCCAUACCACCUUGAAUGGGCCUGAUCUCAGCAGCUAAGCAGAGGCAGGCCUGGUUAGCACUUGGAUGGAAGGACGAGAUCAGGUAAUGUGUGUG